CAAUAGCGUAUAUUAAAGUUGUUGCAGUUAAAAAGCUCGUAGUUGGAUUUGUGGCGUACGGUGUGUUCCGGGCACUUGUUGUCUGAGUAACCUGCUGUUGCCAUCCUUGGGUGGAACCUGUGUGGCAUUAGGUUGUCGUGCAGGGGAUGCCCAUCAUUUACUGUGAAAAAAUUAGAGUGUUCAAAGCAGGCUUAUGCCGUUGAAUAUAUUAGCAUGGAAUAAUGAGAUAGGACUUUUUUGCUAUUUUGUUGGUUUGCGCAAAGAGGUAAUGAUUAAUAGGGACAGUUGGGGGUAUUCGUAUUCCAUUGUCAGAGGUGAAAUUCUUGGAUCUUUGGAAGACGAACUACUGCGAAAGCAUUUACCAAGGAUGUUUUCAUUAA
Molecule: ribosomal RNA, 380 nt
Filed under: uncultured eukaryote
Lineage: Eukaryota
Description: partial 18S ribosomal RNA
Rfam family: Eukaryotic small subunit ribosomal RNA
Source: RNAcentral